AGCGUAGACGGAUGGACAAGUCUGAUGUGAAAGGCUGGGGCUCAACCCCGGGACUGCAUUGGAAACUGCCCGUCUUGAGUGCCGGAGAGGUAAGCGGAAUUCCUAGUGUAGCGGUGAAAUGCGUAGAUAUUAGGAGGAACACCAGUGGCGAAGGCGGCUUUCUGGACUGUAACUGACGCUGAGGCUCGAAAGCUAGGGUAGCGAACG
Molecule: ribosomal RNA, 207 nt
Filed under: uncultured bacterium
Lineage: Bacteria
Description: partial 16S ribosomal RNA
Rfam family: Bacterial small subunit ribosomal RNA
Source: RNAcentral